UACAGAGGUCUCAAGCGUUGUUCGGAAUCACUGGGCGUAAAGGGUGCGUAGGCGGCGUGGAAAGUCAGAUGUGAAAUCCGGGGGCUCAACCUCCGAAUUGCAUCCGAUACUACCAUGCUAGAGAACUGGAGGGGAGUCUGGAAUUCUUGGUGUAGCAGUGAAAUGCAUAGAUAUCAAGAGGAACACUAGUGGCGAAGGCGAGACUCUGGACAGUAUCUGACGCUCAUGCACGAAGGUCAGGGUAGCGAACGGG
Molecule: ribosomal RNA, 253 nt
Filed under: uncultured bacterium
Lineage: Bacteria
Also listed under: 1 other name
Description: partial 16S ribosomal RNA
Rfam family: Bacterial small subunit ribosomal RNA
Source: RNAcentral